ACUCCUACGGGAGGCAGCAGUGGGGAAUAUUGCACAAUGGGGGAAACCCUGAUGCAGCGACGCAGCGUGCGGGAUGACGGCCUUCGGGUUGUAAACCGCUUUCAGCAGGGAAGAAGCGCAAGUGAACGGUACCCUGCAGAAAGAAUGUACCGGCUAACUACGUGCCAGCAGCCGCGGUAAUACGUAGGGUACGAGCGUUGUCCGGAAUUAUUGGGCGUAAAGAGCUCGUAGGUGGUUGGUCACGUCUGCUGUGGAAACGCAACGCUUAACGUUGCGCGUGCAGUGGGUACGGGCUGACUAGAGUGCAGUAGGGGAGUCUGGAAUUCCUGGUGUAGCGGUGAAAUGCGCAGAUAUCAGGAGGAACACCGGUGGCGAAGGCGGGACUCUGGGCUGUAACUGACACUGAGGAGGCGAAAGCAUGGGGAGCGAACAGGAUUAGAUACCCUGGUAGCUACGAG
RNAcentral lists this ribosomal RNA (458 nucleotides) under uncultured bacterium. RNAcentral describes it as "bacterial SSU rRNA". It matches the Rfam family "Bacterial small subunit ribosomal RNA", at positions 335 to 799 of the family's 1533-position model. The record is from RNAcentral.